UACGUAGGGUGCAAGCGUUAUUCGGAAUGACUGGGCGUAAAGGGUGUGUAGGCGGUCUGCUAAGUCUGAUGUGAAAUCCCCGGGCUCAACCUGGGAACUGCGUUGGAAACUAGCAAACUAGAGUACGUAAGAGGGGGGUGGAAUUCCACGUGUAGCAGUGAAAUGCGUAGAGAUGUGGAGGAACACCGACGGCGAAGGCAGCCCCCUGGGACGAUACUGACGCUGAGGCACGAAAGCGUGGGGAGCAAACAGG
Molecule: ribosomal RNA, 253 nt
Filed under: uncultured bacterium
Lineage: Bacteria
Description: partial 16S ribosomal RNA
Rfam family: Bacterial small subunit ribosomal RNA
Source: RNAcentral